UACGUAGGGCGCAAGCGUUGUCCGGAAUUACUGGGCGUAAAGGGCGCGUAGGCGGCUUUUCAAGUCGGGCGUGAAAUCUCCGGGCUUAACCCGGAAGGGUCGUUCGAUACUGUUGAGCUAGAGUGUGGAAGAGGCAACUAGAAUUCCGUGUGUAGCGGUGAAAUGCGUAGAUAUACGGAGGAAUACCUGAGGCGAAGGCGGGUUGCUGGGCCAACACUGACGCUGAGGCGCGAAAGCCAGGGGAGCAAACGGG
RNAcentral lists this ribosomal RNA (253 nucleotides) under uncultured bacterium. RNAcentral describes it as "partial 16S ribosomal RNA". It matches the Rfam family "Bacterial small subunit ribosomal RNA", at positions 524 to 776 of the family's 1533-position model. The record is from RNAcentral.